Molecule: ribosomal RNA, 497 nt
Filed under: uncultured bacterium
Lineage: Bacteria
Description: partial 16S ribosomal RNA
Rfam family: Bacterial small subunit ribosomal RNA
Source: RNAcentral
GAUGAACGCUGGCGGCGUGCCUAAUACAUGCAAGUCGAGCGAACGGACGAGAAGCUUGCUUCUCUGAUGUUAGCGGCGGACGGGUGAGUAACACGUGGAUAACCUACCUAUAAGACUGGGAUAACUUCGGGAAACCGGAGCUAAUACCGGAUAAUAUUUUGAACCGCAUGGUUCAAAAGUGAAAGAAGGUCUUGCUGUCCCUUAUAGAUGGAUCCGCGCUGCAUUAGCUAGUUGGUAAGGUAACGGCUUACCAAGGCAACGAUGCAUAGCCGACCUGAGAGGGUGAUCGGCCACACUGGAACUGAGACACGGUCCAGACUCCUACGGGAGGCAGCAGUAGGGAAUCUUCCGCAAUGGGCGAAAGCCUGACGGAGCAACGCCGCGUGAGUGAUGAAGGUCUUCGGAUCGUAAAACUCUGUUAUUAGGGAAGAACAUAUGUGUAAGUAACUGUGCACAUCUUGACGGUACCUAAUCAGAAAGCCACGGCUAACUACGUG